CAGUCGCCGCGGGAAUACGGAGGGUGCAAGCGUUAAUCGGAAUUACUGGGCGUAAAGCGCACGCAGGCGGUUUGUUAAGUCAGAUGUGAAAUCCCCGAGCUUAACUUGGGAACUGCAUUUGAAACUGGCAAGCUAGAGUCUUGUAGAGGGGGGUAGAAUUCCAGGUGUAGCGGUGAAAUGCGUAGAGAUCUGGAGGAAUACCGGUGGCGAAGGCGGCCCCCUGGACAAAGACUGACGCUCAGGUGCGAAAGCGUGGGGAGCAAACAGGAUUAGAUACCCCGGUAGUCCCUGUCUCUUAUAA
This 301-nucleotide ribosomal RNA is filed under the name uncultured bacterium. RNAcentral's name for it is "partial 16S ribosomal RNA". It matches the Rfam family "Bacterial small subunit ribosomal RNA", at positions 509 to 809 of the family's 1533-position model. The record is from RNAcentral.